Paramuricea clavata is the source of this 464-nucleotide non-coding RNA. The record is from the annotation of a GenBank genome assembly. Lineage: Eukaryota; Metazoa; Cnidaria; Anthozoa; Malacalcyonacea; Plexauridae.
ACACACCAUCAGUCUCUAAUUCCAUAGUGAAUUGAAGGGAUGGAUGCAGACUGUUGAGGGUGGAAAGGAAUGCUUCUGCGGAAGCAAUAUUGCUUUGCGAUAUGAUGGAAUCAUCAACAAACCGGUGGUAUAAGGAGUGCAUCAGGUUCCGUUAUACCAGCUUUUCCUCAAUUGAACACAUGAACGCGUUCGCCAUGAGUGGAGCAAGUGGGGAGUUCAUUGCAACUCCGUCGACUUGCUCGUAUAACUUACCGUCGAUUUGGAAUAGCUGAUGUUUAACUGCUAACUUCAUGAGUUCGACAAGUUCAAAUUUCUCAAGCUUUAGGUUGUAUUUCCAGUUGAACCAUUCUUUCUCAAACGCUUUGUCGGCAAGAAUUUGGAUCGUUUCAUCAACUGGUACAUUGGUGAAAAGCGAUGCAACGUCAUACGAUACUGGCAUGUCACUCUCAGCCAUUUGUUUCUCG